RNAcentral lists this ribosomal RNA (468 nucleotides) under uncultured bacterium. RNAcentral's name for it is "partial 16S ribosomal RNA". It matches the Rfam family "Bacterial small subunit ribosomal RNA", at positions 28 to 507 of the family's 1533-position model. The record is from RNAcentral.
GACGAACGCUGGCGGCGUGCUUAACACAUGCAAGUCGAACGGAAAGGCCCUGAUUUUGUGGGGUGCUCGAGUGGCGAACGGGGGAGUGACACGUGAGUAACCUGCCCUUGACUUUGGGAUGACUUCAGGAAACUGAGGCUACUACCGGAUAGGAGCUCCUGCAGCAUGGUGGGGGUUGGAAAGUUUAGGCGGUUGGGGAUGGACUCGCGGCUUAUCAGCUUGCUGGUGGGGUAGUGGCAUACCAAGGCUUUGACGGAUCGCCGGCCUGUGAGGGUGACCGGGGACAAUGGUACUGAGGGAGGGAGCAGUCGCGAAUGUUGGGCAGUGGGGGGGAGUAUGGCACAGCGGGCGGGCGCGGGAUGCGGAAGCGUCCGGGUCGUGAAGACGUCUUUUUGGUUAAAAACAGCUUUCGCUUGUUACGAAGCGGGAGUGACGGUAAUGAGUAAAGAAGCACCGGCUAACUACGUG